AGUGAACGCUGGCGGUAGGCCUAACACAUGCAAGUCGAACGGCAGCACAGUAAGAGCUUGCUCUUACGGGUGGCGAGUGGCGGACGGGUGAGGAAUACAUCGGAAUCUACUUUUUCGUGGGGGAUAACGUAGGGAAACUUACGCUAAUACCGCAUACGACCUACGGGUGAAAGCAGGGGAGCUUCGGACCUUGCGCGAUUGAAUGAGCCGAUGUCGGAUUAGCUAGUUGGCGGGGUAAAGGCCCACCAAGGCGACGAUCCGUAGCUGGUCUGAGAGGAUGAUCAGCGACACUGGAACUGAGACACGGUCCCGACUCCUACGGGAGGCAGCAGUGGGGAAUAUUGGACAAUGGGCGCAAGCCUGAUCCAGCCAUACCGCGUGGGUGAAGAAGGCCUUCGGGUUGUAAAGCCCUUUUGUUGGGAAAGAAAAGCAGCAGGUUAAUACCCCGCUGUUCUGACGGUACCCAAAGAAUAAGCACCGGCUAACUUCGUG
RNAcentral lists this ribosomal RNA (492 nucleotides) under uncultured bacterium. Its description in RNAcentral is "partial 16S ribosomal RNA". It matches the Rfam family "Bacterial small subunit ribosomal RNA", at positions 29 to 507 of the family's 1533-position model. The record is from RNAcentral.